AAAGGAAUAGACGGGGGCUCACACAAGCGGUGGAGCAUGUGGAUCAAUUCGAAGCAACGCGAAGAACCUUACCUGGGUUUGACAUGCAUGGAUGGUCGCCUCGAAAGAGGAGUGAUCUGCCCGCAAGGGUGAAACAUGUACAGGUGCUGCAUGGCUGUCGUCAGCUCGUGCUGUGAAGUGUCGGGUUAAGUCCCUUAACGAGCGAAACCCUUAUCGUUAGUUGCCAGCGGGUCAUGCCGGGAACUCUAACGAGACUGCCGGCGUUAAGCCGGAGGAAGGUGGGGACGACGUCAAGUCAUCAUGGCCUUUAUGCCCAGGGUGUCACACGUGCUACAAUGGAGCGUACAGAGCGAAGCAAGACCGCAAGGUGGAGCAAAUCGCAGAAAACGUUCCUCAGUUCGGAUUGGGGUCUGCAACUCGACCCCAUGAAGCUGGAAUCGCUAGUAAUCGCGUAUCAGCCAUGACGCGGUGAAUGUGUUCCUGAGCCUUGUACACACCGCCCGU
This 504-nucleotide ribosomal RNA is filed under the name uncultured bacterium. Its description in RNAcentral is "bacterial SSU rRNA". It matches the Rfam family "Bacterial small subunit ribosomal RNA", at positions 903 to 1397 of the family's 1533-position model. The record is from RNAcentral.